UGAAGCCUUGCCCAAGCCAAAAAACGUCCUCGGAGAGGUCUUCUUAUCCGACUCCCCCCACUUCGGUCUGCCUCUAGUCUCGACGGCAUUCGAGCAAGGUAGGCGGAGAGGUGAGCCCCAGAACCUUCUAGUAGCUCCCUAGUGAGCUCCUCCUUCUAAGCCCAUCGUCAAUUUAGUCGCAUAUGAUCUCCUCAGUGAGUUUCGGAGUUUCCCAAAGCUGUCAUCCGCCAGAGCAAGGUCGCCGUCGACGUGAAGCCUCCCCUUCGACCUAAUCUUGCUCUCAUCGACGUGCAGGUCCUCAGUGAGUGCGUCGACGCCCUCAACCAGCCCUCUCCCUUCUUCUAUUGUUGUCGGCAAACACCGCAUGCCUCACGCGCCGGUGAAGAUUCAAACCAGACAGGGGGGACCCCCUCAUCAGUGUCAUCUAUCUCUCCGAAUCGUUUUCGGCGAAAGCACCUUUGCCAUAAGAUGCCUUCACUGCGGGUUGGUGUAUUUCUAAUUCGGGCGCUUUAAGCUUCUCAGACUAGCCCCUAUUCUAGUUCUGUUUUAUUACAGAAUAGUCCCUGGUUUUAUUUUUCUUAUAACUUUUUAUCUACAAAAGCUUUUUCAGUGAUUCCUUUGGUAAAAUAUUACUCUGUAGGUCUUGUUUCUUCUCAGAUUUAUUUAGAAAUUAUUUGGAGGCAGUAUCUAGGCAUUUUCCCUUAUGGUAAUAUAUGUUGUGUGGCGUAGAUUCCGAGGAGGGCAACGCCGACAUUUACUUCACCGAGCUUGACCCCGACUACGUGGAACCAGGCAAGCAUGUUUGGAC
RNAcentral lists this long non-coding RNA (808 nucleotides) under Hordeum vulgare. RNAcentral describes it as "long non-coding RNA (HVUL_LNC004984)". Lineage: Eukaryota; Viridiplantae; Streptophyta; Magnoliopsida; Poales; Poaceae. The record is from RNAcentral.